UGCGGAGUAGAGCAGUGGCAGCUCGUUGGGCUCAUAACCCAAAGGUCGUAGGUUCGAAUCCUAUCUCCGUCA
This 72-nucleotide transfer RNA is filed under the name Candidatus Tremblaya phenacola PAVE. RNAcentral describes it as "tRNA-fMet (CAT) (tRNA-fMet-CAT-1-1)". It matches the Rfam family "tRNA". Rfam says of the family: Transfer RNA (tRNA) molecules are approximately 80 nucleotides in length. Their secondary structure includes four short double-helical elements and three loops (D, anti-codon, and T loops). Lineage: Bacteria; Pseudomonadati; Pseudomonadota; Betaproteobacteria. The record is from RNAcentral.